Dreissena polymorpha is the source of this 856-nucleotide long non-coding RNA. RefSeq lists it as uncharacterized. The transcript is spliced from 3 exons. NCBI's taxonomy places the organism in Eukaryota, Metazoa, Mollusca, Bivalvia, Myida, Dreissenidae. The record is from RefSeq and is a predicted model, not a curated record.
GUUGGUCGCAGUUUUCAAGAUGGCGUCUGUAAAUUUAUACGCGAGAAAUCGCAACGAAGACAAAAUAAUGUUAUUAACCAGGUUUUCCGAAGGAAAACACUGGUUAUUAGAUUGGCGAAUGCGGGCGGGCUGGCUGGCUGGCUGGCGGGCUGGCUGGCGGGCUGGCGGGCUGGCGGAAUAAGCUUGUCCGGGCCAUAACUAUGUCGUUCAUUGUCAGAUUUUAAAAUCAUUUGGCACAUUUGUUCACCAUCAUUGGACGGUGUGUCGCGCGAAAUAAUUACGUCAAUAUCUCCAAGGUCAAGGUCACACUUUGAGUUCAAAGGUCAAAAAUGGCCAUAAAUGAGCUUGUCCUGGCCAUAACUAUGUCAUUCAUUGUGAGAUUUUAAAAUCAUUUGGCACAUUUGUUCACCAUCAUGGGGCGGUGUGUCCCACGAAAGAAUCACGUCAAUAUCUCCAAUGUCAAGGUCGCCACGACUAAAAAUAGAUUUAAAAAAAAAAAAAAACUUACAAAGGGGGUUAAUUUUUUUUGGUCAUUUCAAAAGUUCAGUUUGAGUUGUCUCCCUUUAUCAGAUUUUUUUUUCACAAUGAAAACCUGGUUUUGUGACAAUUUUGUCCCUUGUUUUUAACUUGUUUUGACGAUGCAAAAGCUUACAUAAAAGAAAUGAAAUUGAUACGAAUAACCGUUACAUGAUGGGUUACAGCACAAAAAACUUUGGUAAUUCAGCUGUUACUUCAUCCUCCCAUAAGGUUUGUUGGGUCCAUGGGGUGAACCCUCACAUGUAUGUGAGCCUAGGACAUCAGGUUCUGAAAUGCCAACAUGGUACAGACAAGAACAAGAAGAAAAAAAAGGAGAAGG